UCGGGAAUAUUGCGCAAUGGAGGAAACUCUGACGCAGUGACGCCGCGUAUAGGAAGAAGGUUUUCGGAUUGUAAACUAUUGUCGUUAGGGAAGAAAAAAUGACAGUACCUAAGGAGGAAGCUCCGGCUAACUACGUGCCAGCAGCCGCGGUAAUACGUAGGGAGCAAGCGUUAUCCGGAUUUAUUGGGUGUAAAGGGUGCGUAGACGGGCGAUCAAGUUAGUUGUGAAAUCCCUCGGCUCAACUGAGGAACUGCAACUAAAACUGGUUGUCUUGAGUGCGGGAGAGGUAAGUGGAAUUCCUAGUGUAGCGGUGAAAUGCGUAGAUAUUAGGAGGAACACCAGUGGCGAAGGCGACUUACUGGACUGUAACUGACGUUGAGGCACGAAAGUGUGGGGAGCAAACAGGAUUAGAUACC
This 416-nucleotide ribosomal RNA is filed under the name uncultured bacterium. RNAcentral's name for it is "bacterial SSU rRNA". It matches the Rfam family "Bacterial small subunit ribosomal RNA", at positions 355 to 786 of the family's 1533-position model. The record is from RNAcentral.